Molecule: non-coding RNA, 216 nt
Filed under: Rhizobiales bacterium GAS113
Lineage: Bacteria; Pseudomonadati; Pseudomonadota; Alphaproteobacteria; Hyphomicrobiales
Source: RNAcentral
AAAGUCCGAUACGAUGAAGGAGUAGCGAACCACAUCGGCCCCGAGCCGUGCGUCGCUGGCCGUGAGGCCAAUGAUGACGCGUCGGUAGGGGAUGGCAUAGGCCAACCAUCGAGCCGCGAUAGGGAUCCGGGUGCCGACGCUGUAGCUAUAGCGGAAGGCAACAUGGCCGAGCGCGCCAACGCGAGUGCUCGGGCAACCCGGCGUGGUCAGAGACCC